RNAcentral lists this ribosomal RNA (427 nucleotides) under Oligoneuria amazonica. RNAcentral describes it as "partial 16S ribosomal RNA". It matches the Rfam family "Bacterial large subunit ribosomal RNA", at positions 1959 to 2601 of the family's 2925-position model. The record is from RNAcentral. Lineage: Eukaryota; Metazoa; Arthropoda; Insecta; Ephemeroptera; Oligoneuriidae.
GCAUAAUCAUUAGUCUUUUAAUUGAAGGCUCGUAUGAAUGGCGGGACGGGGUUCUUACUGUCUCUUUUAAAAUAAUUUGGAAUUUAAUUUUUUAGUCAAAAAGCUAAAAUUUCUUUGGAGGACGAGAAGACCCUAUAGAGCUUGAUACAUAUAAAUUAUUUUUAAUUUAAUUAUAAAGAAUAAUACAACUGUAUUUUGUUGGGGUGACAGGAAGAUAAAUUAAACUCUUCUUUUUAUAUUUCAUAAAUUAAUGUAUUUAUGAUCCAUUUGUUAUGAUUAAAAGAAUAAGUUACCUUAGGGAUAACAGCGUAAUUUUUCUUGAGAGUUCUUAUCGACAGAAGAGUUUGCGACCUCGAUGUUGGACUAAGAUAAAUUUGGGGUGCAGAAGCUCAAAUAUUAGGUCUGUUCGACCUUUAAAAUCUUACAU